This is a long non-coding RNA of Spea bombifrons (plains spadefoot toad), 536 nucleotides long. RefSeq lists it as uncharacterized. Lineage: Eukaryota; Metazoa; Chordata; Amphibia; Anura; Pelobatidae. The transcript is spliced from 2 exons. The record is from RefSeq and is a predicted model, not a curated record.
AUUACACCAUGCAUGUUAUAUAGCUGCUUGUAUUCCAGUCCAGAAUUCUCCAGAUAAUGCAGUUCUGGACAUUUUUGUUUUAAGGUUUUUAUGCCUUAUGAAGCAGCGGUGUUAAAACUGGGCAUCUAUCGUAUAAGCCGCCAGUAAGUGCUCCAUCGGAUUCAACCAGAUGUUCUUGUUCUAACACAUUGCUGUUUGUUGUAAAUGAUUUUUUGGGGUUUUCUUACCACAAACGAUGACAAUGAAUGUCUUCUGGAUAGAUUUAAUAGUGUCCUCAAGUGGCACCAGCUGACUGGUGUGUCUGCACUUUAAUUUCUAGUGCACAUUUCAUUAAUGCCAUGAUGUCUAAUCAUAGGAACCAAAUAAAGUAUUAAAACCUGCAGGUGAAUACUUUGUUUUGGCCUCCGUUAUUUUGCUGUUAAAGGCGCGGUAAGACGGUGGUGUAAUGUAGUUUGCAUUAUAAUGUUAAUGUAUGCUCUGGUACAGAUCAUUUGUUGUCACAGCACUGCAGUGAAAUAAACCUGAGUUGUUGGCAA